Molecule: long non-coding RNA, 527 nt
Filed under: Lathyrus oleraceus (garden pea)
Lineage: Eukaryota; Viridiplantae; Streptophyta; Magnoliopsida; Fabales; Fabaceae
Description: Pisum sativum (pea) long non-coding RNA (PSAT_LNC027512)
Source: RNAcentral
CUGACCCCGAAUCCGAACGGAUUCCGAUGUCUGAGGGGGAGGAGAUGAGGUGAAUAAGUUAGUGCUUCCCGGAUCACGGUUGGUUGCACCAACAAUGAUGGCUGAACAUAAAGUCUGUAUCCUGGAUAUUGAACCUAGGGAUGUGCACCUACCUGGGGCAGUGUCUCCCUCACAGAUGUGUGAGAAAUCAGAGAAGACUAAAUGGAUAAAGACUCAGAAUGACACGUUGAGUCCGACUGAGGGAAAGGGUUGAUAAUUACUUGGCAUGGGGCAGUUGUACCUAGUUGAACGAAGCGUGUUGUUAACCGAGAAGUGUGACCUCGCGUGUACCACGUGGAAGAGUUGGUUGAAAAGGAUCCUUCCUCCUCAAGACGAUUAUGGGGCAAAUGGACAAACAGCUAUGAACGUCUGUUCGUGGUCAAGAGGGUCCCAUCUGACAGAACCUUGUUGUUUACGACCACGGAUGACGACGAUUUUCAUCCCCUGUGAAUGCGGACGCAGUUAGAAAAUACUUCGUGAAAGAAACC